AACCCUAAAAACCUUAUUUUAUGAUCCUANACCAAAAUUUGAAAAUUAUAUUUUGCAUACAAAAAAAGAAAAAUCAAAAUUCUCAUAAACUAGAAAUAUAAGGUAGGGGGCAGAUUGUUAGGGGUCGCAAGAUGACAGUUUUCAAUAGUUUUCAAGAUGCGAAAUUAAUCCUCCCUUGGGCCUUAUGGGUUAUUUUGCAACCCUAAAAACCUUAUUUUAUGAUCCUAAAUCUUUAAAUAAUCAGAAUAUGAAAUCCAAAAUGUCAUAAAUCGAACAACAAUGUGAAAAACUAACAAAGAUUCAUGACAAUUUUAUUUAAAAAAUAGACAUCUAACGAUUUAAUCACGUGUGUCCGCUCUAAUACCACUUGUUAGAUCUUUAUGCAAAUAAAUGCAACUAACCCAAAAAUCACAUGUAAACCGUUAGACAAUUGUUAAUGUAUUUAAUUAUAAACACUAACCAAAAUUCAA
RNAcentral lists this long non-coding RNA (470 nucleotides) under Ananas comosus (pineapple). RNAcentral describes it as "long non-coding RNA (ACOM_LNC024197)". The record is from RNAcentral. Lineage: Eukaryota; Viridiplantae; Streptophyta; Magnoliopsida; Poales; Bromeliaceae.